Lonchura striata (white-rumped munia) is the source of this 125-nucleotide non-coding RNA. Lineage: Eukaryota; Metazoa; Chordata; Aves; Passeriformes; Estrildidae. The record is from RefSeq and is a predicted model, not a curated record.
CCCUGGGCAGCCGGGUCGCCACGGGCUUCCUGGCUCUCCAGGACCACCAGGGCCACAGGGUCCACCAGGAGAGAGUGCCGAGGGUCCGGGCAAGAAGGGAGACAGGGGAUUUCCUGGAGCUGAUG